Molecule: non-coding RNA, 298 nt
Organism: Paramuricea clavata
Lineage: Eukaryota; Metazoa; Cnidaria; Anthozoa; Malacalcyonacea; Plexauridae
Source: the annotation of a GenBank genome assembly
AUAAAACAAACACCGCGGAAAAACGUCUGCGCAUGCGUCAACCGUACCUGUAAUAGUAUUGCGAACUUGAUGAGAAGCUGUUCCGAACGUUUCCGAAGGCUCAAAAUGGCGGUAAAAAGGAGUGACUUCAUUGUGCGUCUUUACAGCCAGAUUUCGAGCGCAAAAAUAAACAUGUCAUUCUAAAAACUAGGAAUAAAUACAGCCAGAAGGUUCAAGAAAUUGUAUUGUACAAGAACAUGAACUAAAGGUGAUUGUUGACAAAUUUAUUGUCUGAAACAUUUUGUUUAUCAACUAAGCA